GCUCUCAUAGCUUAUCAGGUAAAGCAACUGGUUUGUAACCAGAAGAGCGGGGUUCGAUUCCUCGUGAGAGCU
This 72-nucleotide transfer RNA is filed under the name Candidatus Woesearchaeota archaeon. RNAcentral describes it as "tRNA-Thr". It matches the Rfam family "tRNA". Rfam says of the family: Transfer RNA (tRNA) molecules are approximately 80 nucleotides in length. Their secondary structure includes four short double-helical elements and three loops (D, anti-codon, and T loops). Lineage: Archaea; Nanobdellati; Candidatus Woesearchaeota. The record is from RNAcentral.